This 254-nucleotide ribosomal RNA is filed under the name uncultured bacterium. RNAcentral's name for it is "partial 16S ribosomal RNA". It matches the Rfam family "Bacterial small subunit ribosomal RNA", at positions 103 to 354 of the family's 1533-position model. The record is from RNAcentral.
CGGGUGAGUAACACGGUAUGCAACCUGCCUGCCACAGCCGGAUAAUCGGGAGAAAUUCCGUCUAAUACGGCAUAAUGCAUCGACGGGACAUCCUGUUGGUGCCAAAGGUUGAUUCCGGUGGCGGAUGGGCAUGCGUCGCAUUAGUUAGUUGGCGGUGUAACGGACCACCAAGACGACGAUGCGUAGGGGUUCUGAGAGGAAGGUCCCCCACACUGGUACUGAGACACGGACCAGACUCCUACGGAAGGCAGCAG